UACGUAGGGUGCAAGCGUUGUCCGGAAUUAUUGGGCGUAAAGAGCUCGUAGGCGGUUUGUUGCGUCGGCUGUGAAAUCCCGAGGCUCAACCUCGGGUCUGCAGUCGAUACGAGCAAACUAGAGUGUUGCAGGGGAGACUGGAAUUCCUGGUGUAGCGGUGAAAUGCGCAGAUAUCAGGAGGAACACCGGUGGCGAAGGCGGGUCUCUGGGCCGAUACUGACGCUGGAGGAGCGAAA
Molecule: ribosomal RNA, 236 nt
Filed under: uncultured bacterium
Lineage: Bacteria
Description: partial 16S ribosomal RNA
Rfam family: Bacterial small subunit ribosomal RNA
Source: RNAcentral